CAAUAGCGUAUAUUUAAGUUGUUGCAGUUAAAAAGCUCGUAGUUGGAUUUCGGUUAAGAGCGACCGGUCCGCCGUUUGGUGUGCACUGGUUGGUUUUAACCUCCUGUAGAGGACGUGCUCUGGGUUUAACGACCUGGACUCGGAGUCUACGUGGUUACUUUGAAAAAAUUAGAGUGUUCAAAGCGGGCUUACGCUUGAAUAUUUCAGCAUGGAAUAACACUAUAGGACUCCUGUCCUAUUUCGUUGGUCUCGGGACGGGAGUAAUGAUUAAGAGGAACAGUUGGGGGCAUUCGUAUUUCAUUGUCAGAGGUGAAAUUCUUGGAUUUAUGAAAGACGAACUUCUGCGAAAGCAUUUGCCAAGGAUGUUUUCAUUAA
This 375-nucleotide ribosomal RNA is filed under the name uncultured eukaryote. RNAcentral's name for it is "partial 18S ribosomal RNA". It matches the Rfam family "Eukaryotic small subunit ribosomal RNA", at positions 592 to 976 of the family's 1831-position model. The record is from RNAcentral.